Molecule: ribosomal RNA, 253 nt
Filed under: uncultured bacterium
Lineage: Bacteria
Description: partial 16S ribosomal RNA
Rfam family: Bacterial small subunit ribosomal RNA
Source: RNAcentral
UACGGAGGGUGCGAGCGUUAUCCGGAAUUACUGGGUUUAAAGGGUGCGUAGGCGGCUAAGUAAGUCAGGAGUGAAAGCUUGCGGCUCAACCGUAAAAUUGCUUUUGAUACUGCAUAGCUAGAAUUAGGAUGAGGUCAGCGGAAUGUGGCAUGUAGCGGUGAAAUGCAUAGAUAUACCAUAGAACACCAAUUGCGAAGGCAGCUGGCUAGACCUGGAUUGACGCUGAGGCACGAAAGCGUGGGGAGCGAACAGG